This 463-nucleotide ribosomal RNA is filed under the name uncultured bacterium. RNAcentral describes it as "SSU rRNA". It matches the Rfam family "Bacterial small subunit ribosomal RNA", at positions 26 to 518 of the family's 1533-position model. The record is from RNAcentral.
AGAACGAACGCUGGCGGCAUGCCUAACACAUGCAAGUCGAACGCUUUUGGGGCUUCGGUCCCAAAGGAGUGGCGCACGGGUGAGUAGCGCGUGGGAACCUGCCCUGUUGUGGGGGAUAACCGAGGGAAACUUCGGCUAAUACCGCAUACGCCCGGGGGAAACUCCGGGGAAAGAUUUAUCGCAGCAGGAGGGGCCCGCGUCGGAUUAGGUAGUUGGUGGGGUAACGGCCCACCAAGCCUGUGAUCCGUAGCUGGUCUGAGAGGAUGAUCAGCCACACUGGGACUGAGACACGGCCCAGACUCCUACGGGAGGCAGCAGUGGGGAAUAUUGGACAAUGGGCGCAAGCCUGAUCCAGCAAUGCCGCGUGAGUGAUGAAGGCCUUCGGGUUGUAAAGCUCUUUCGCACGCGACGAUGAUGACGGUAGCGUGAGAAGAAGCCCGGCUAACUUCGUGCCAGCAGCCGC